CUCGCGGAACAACGAGGCGUGUGGAUCCAAUGAGAACACGCCGCGUCCAGGGCCCCGGUGUCCGCAUCGAGCCGGUGACUGCUGUAGCACUGAUAUCAGCACAGCGUUGUGCAGCGUGACUAUAAAACACCGCCGCCGCAUGGGUUUCACUGAUUAAUGUGACAUUUACCAGGGAGCAGUAUUAACGUGUGAGGAUCGCACGGGGAUCUUUUGUUAUUGUUCACACUGUCAGAUAAGCUUCACCUGCAAGAGUCAUUCUGGUCCUGUAUACAAAGUUCAUGGUUACCAUGAGGAAAAAGCUGCCGUUAUUGGCGUUGUUCUGCCUCGCCCUAGCACUCCUUCCUUCUCCAGCAGAUUCAGUUGCUGUGAUGUCUGUAGACCUGGGAAGCGAAUGGAUGAAAGUCGCUAUAGUCAAGCCUGGUGUGCCGAUGGAAAUCGCUCUCAACAAGGAGUCCAGAAGGAAAACUCCAGUGGCCGUAUGCUUAAAAGAGAACGAAAGACUUUUUGGAGACAGUGCUCUGGGUGUGUCUGUGAAGAAUCCCAAAGUGGUGUACAGGUAUCUCCAGAGCCUCUUGGGGAAGACCGCUGAUAACCUCCAGGUUGAGCAGUAUAGGAAACACUUUCCUGAACACCAGGUACUCCGAGAUGAAAAGAGAGGAACGGUGUAUUUCAAAUACUCUGAAGAGAUGCAGUAUACUCCAGAGGAGCUCUUGGGCAUGGUAUUGAACUACUCUCGUGGCCUGGCUGAAGACUUUGCAGAACAAAUCAUUAAAGACGCAGUAAUCACCGUCCCAGCCUUUUUUAACCAGGCAGAACGUAGGGCAGUCCUGCAGGCCGCUCAGAUGGCAGGUUUGAAGGUCCUCCAGCUCAUCAAUGACAAUACGGCUGUGGCUUUGAACUAUGGACUUUUCAGGAGGAAAGACAUCAACUCCACUGCCCAGAAUAUUAUGUUUUACGACAUGGGAUCCGGCAGUACGACGGCCACUAUAGUCACUUACCAGACUGUAAAGACUAAAGAUGCAGGCACACAGCCUCAGCUGCAGAUUCGUGGAAUUGGCUUCGAUAGGACUCUUGGGGGUUUUGAAAUGGAGCUGAGACUGAGAGACCACCUGGCCAAACUCUUCAAUGAGCAAAAGAAAUCGAAGAAAGAUGUAACGGAGAACCUGCGUGCUAUGGCCAAGCUGUUGAAGGAGGCGCAAAGACUCAAGACCGUGCUGAGCGCAAAUGCCGAACAUGUAGCACAGAUCGAAGGGCUGAUGGACGAUAUCGACUUCAAGGCGAAGGUGACCCGUGCCGAGUUUGAGAAUCUAUGUUCCGAUCUGUUUGACCGAGUGCCGAUACCAGUGCAGCAGGCGCUUGCUGCUUCUGAGAUGUCUCUGGACGAGAUUGAACAAGUCAUUCUGGUUGGAGGAGCCACUCGAGUUCCCAGAGUGCAGGAAGCGCUUCUUAAAGCGACUAAGAAAGAUGAGCUUGCAAAGAAUAUAAAUGCUGACGAGGCAGCAGCUAUGGGUGCAGUGUACCAGGCUGCAGCCCUGAGCAAAGCGUUUAAGGUAAAACCCUUCCUGAUCCGGGACGCAGCCGUGUUUCCAAUACAGGUCGAAUUUAGCCGCGAGACUGAGGAAGAUGAGGGAGCGAAGGCAAUCAAGCACAACAAGCGCGUUCUGUUCCAGAGGAUGGCGCCAUAUCCCCAGCGCAAAGUCAUCACCUUCAACCGUUACAGUGAUGACUUUGUUUUCAACAUCAAUUACGGAGACCUCAGCUUCCUCAGCCAAGAAGAUCAGAAGAUGUUUGGCUCUGUGAACCUGACCACGGUGAAGCUGUCUGGAGUCGGAGAGAGCUUCAAGAAGCACACUGACGCCGAGUCCAAAGGCAUCAAGGCCCAUUUUAACAUGGAUGAGAGCGGUUUGCUUGUUCUAGACAGGGUGGAGUCAGUGUUCGAGACUGUCGUUGAGGAAAAAGAGGAAGAAUCGACUCUCACCAAACUUGGGAACACAAUCUCCAGCCUGUUUGGAGGUGGGAGCACAGAGCCCGCUGCUAAUGUGUCAGAACCCGUACAGGAUGAAGAGGAGGUUCCCCCUGAAGCAGGAAAAGAGCAGGAAGAGGCAACGGAGAAAACUGAGGCUCAUCAAGAGCAAUCUGAUACGGAAGAGAAAAGCAAAGAAGAGCCUCCUACUGAAGAGAAGAAAUCUGAUGAAGGCUCUGAAAAAGACGAGCCUCAGACUGAGAAGGAGGCUGAAGCGUCAGAAAAAUCUGAUGAAGGCAAAGCAGCUGGAGCAAAGGAGGAGGAGAAAGAGGCAGAGAAGCAACCUAAAACCCAGAAAAAGAGCAAGAUCUCCGUAGAUAUCGGAGUGGAGCUGCAGAUUAAUGACGUGCUUAAUCCGAGCCCUGAAGAUAUUGAUGUCUCCAAAAAGAAGCUGCAGCAUCUGACAGAACGAGAUCUGGAGAAACAGGAAAGGGAAAAGUCGCUAAACAGUCUGGAGGCGUUCGUCUUUGAGACUCAGGACAAGCUGUACCAGGAUGAGUACCAGGUUGUGGUCACUGAAGAGGAGAAGGAGGCAAUCUCCAGCAAGCUGAGUGAAGCCUCGGCAUGGUUGGAUGAAGAGGGCUAUUCAGCAGAAACCAAACAGCUAAAGGAGAAGUUGUCUGAGCUGAAGAAGCUGUGCAAAGCCAUGUUCUUCCGAGUGGAGGAGAGGAAGAAAUGGCCAGAAAGACUAGCAGCACUUGACAGCAUGCUUAACCACUCUGCCAUGUUCCUGAAGGGUGCUAAAAUGAUACCAGAAGAUGACCAGAUUUUUACCGAAGUUGAGCUGAAGACCUUGGAGAAAGUUAUAAAUGAGACCACGACCUGGAAGAACGAAACUGUGGCCGAGCAGGAAAAACGCGCUCCUACAGAGAGACCCGUGCUGCUAUCCAAAGACAUAGAGGCUAAACUCACUCUCUUAGACCGAGAAGUCACCUACCUGCUCAACAAAGCCAAGUUUGCUAAGCCAAAGCCCAAACCUAAGCCUAAAGAUAAAAACACCACAAGCUCAGAGAACGGCAAACCUAACAGCACAGACUCUGAGAAAGUGAUCCUUCCUGAAGAUGAGUCCAAUGGAGCUGAGGUGAAACCAGCAGAGGAACCACCUACUGAGGAGAUUAAAAAAGUAGAGAGUGAAACAGAGGCAACAAUAGCAGAAGAGACAGAAGACAAAGCAGAAGCUGUGAAUAUACGGGGGACGUUCAAGUCAAACCAGGAUUUGUGAUGAAAUGUCUCAUGAAUGAAGGCAUAAAACCGAUGAAAAACAUUUACAGAAGACUCCAAGCACAAAACGGGAAAUGAUGAUUCACAAAACCAUAUAGGGGAUGAAUUAUAACAACUGGAACAUCUCUCUUUUGUGUUGUAUUUAUUGACUGUGAUAAAGUUUUUUUUUUUUUUUUUUUUCUUUUUUUUUUUUUUACACAUUUGUUCUCUUCGUAUCGCAACAAAACAUUUCAGAGCAUUUUAGGUAAUGUCAGCAUUUUCGUAUAGUUGUUCGCUAACUGUGAUCUACUGAAACGGAACACAUUCGGCUUGAAAGUCUACAGGUAACUACAGUCUGUGUUAAUUCUCUAUUCUGUCUGCCUGUAUUAUAGAAUGGACACACUGCACCGUUUCCCUCAGUCUGUAUGCACUUAUUGUUUUGAUUGUACAUACAUAAAAUGAGCUCAUGAAAAUUUGUCCUUGACAAAUAUUUUAGCAUUUUUGUGCUGAAAUCUAGGCUUUCAACCUAAAAUCUUACAUUCUAGAUUUGCCUGAGAAAAGAUACAUUCUUUAUUCAAGAUAAAUUUUGAUAUGAUUCCCCCCCCCCC
Molecule: RNA transcript, 3831 nt
Organism: Clarias gariepinus (North African catfish)
Lineage: Eukaryota; Metazoa; Chordata; Actinopteri; Siluriformes; Clariidae
Gene: hyou1
Gene name: hypoxia up-regulated 1
Exons: 25
Source: RefSeq, a predicted model, not a curated record